Molecule: non-coding RNA, 77 nt
Organism: Panthera pardus (leopard)
Lineage: Eukaryota; Metazoa; Chordata; Mammalia; Carnivora; Felidae
Source: Ensembl
GUUAGGGUGGCAGAGCCCGGUAAUUGCAUAAAACUUAAGCUUUUAUCAUCAGAGGUUCAACUUCCUUCUCCCUAACA